Psammomys obesus (fat sand rat) is the source of this 485-nucleotide long non-coding RNA. RefSeq lists it as uncharacterized. The transcript has 3 exons. Lineage: Eukaryota; Metazoa; Chordata; Mammalia; Rodentia; Muridae. The record is from RefSeq and is a predicted model, not a curated record.
CCCCGGCCUGGAGGUGCCGGGUCUGUGGUUCCCAGAGGGCCGGGAGCGAGGCCGGGCGGAGACACGGUGCCAGGUUCCUGGGGAAAGCGGGGCUGUAGCCCUGGCGGCCCGAGUAGAACCGAGCCCUCUCCGAGUGCCACGUCUCCAAGAAACCCCCUCCUUACUCUUGGACAACACUCCGCCUCCGCCCCGGACUCCGUCCCCCAAACCACCCCAUGAGUGCUGGAGAGCCUUUAGAACGUCUUGUUGCUGCUCUUUAUUGCUGGUUUAUUGCUCCUAGUCCCUGCUACCUCCUCAGCGCGUGCCCCACCUCUUGUUUUGGCAUCUUUCAAAAAGAUGUACAAAGGCACAGAGAGAAGAACAGGUGAAGAUGCUAGAAAGCCACCAAGUACAAGCUGAGAGAGACCUUGGGGAAGAAGUCCUGCUAACACUCUGAUGUUAGGGGUAUAGCUUCCAAAGUUGUCAAUAAAUACAACUUGUAUUUA